CUAGCUGUAAACGAUGGAUACUAGGCGUUGAGAGUAUCGACCCUCUCAGUGUCGUAGCUAACGCGUUAAGUAUCCCGCCUGGGGAGUACGCGCGCAAGCGUGAAACUCAAAGGAAUUGACGGGGGCCCGCACAAGCGGUGGAGUAUGUGGUUUAAUUCGAUGCAACGCGAAGAACCUUACCAAGGCUUGACAUGUCCGGAACCCUGCCCAAAGGCGGGGGUGCCUACGGGAACCGGAACACAGGUGGUGC
This 250-nucleotide ribosomal RNA is filed under the name uncultured Chroococcidiopsis sp. RNAcentral describes it as "partial 16S ribosomal RNA". It matches the Rfam family "Bacterial small subunit ribosomal RNA", at positions 796 to 1044 of the family's 1533-position model. The record is from RNAcentral. Lineage: Bacteria; Bacillati; Cyanobacteriota; Cyanophyceae; Chroococcidiopsidales; Chroococcidiopsidaceae.